AAACGAUUGAAGUCAGUCAUGCCAGUGAGAAAUCAGCUUACAGGCUACUGUGAGUGCACUUUUUCGCAAGGCAGGUUAACAUCGGUUUUUGUUGCGUCAUAAUGAUUGUAGGAAGGUGGCUCCUUCGGGAGUGUUAUAGCCUACUUUAGAUGGCGCGACGAAGACUGAGGAUUGCAGCGAAUGCCUUUGGCUACGGAUCUUUUCUCUGUCGAUCUUCGAUUGAUCGUCAGCU
RNAcentral lists this ribosomal RNA (232 nucleotides) under Archaeospora sp. RNAcentral's name for it is "partial large subunit ribosomal RNA". The record is from RNAcentral. Lineage: Eukaryota; Fungi; Glomeromycota; Glomeromycetes; Archaeosporales; Archaeosporaceae.